UACGAAGGGGACUAGCGUUGUUCGGAAUUACUGGGCGUAAAGCGCACGUAGGCGGAUUUGUAAGUCAGGGGUGAAAUCCCGGGGCUCAACCUCGGAACUGCCUUUGAUACUGCAAAUCUCGAGUCCGAUAGAGGUGGGUGGAAUUCCUAGUGUAGAGGUGAAAUUCGUAGAUAUUAGGAAGAACACCAGUGGCGAAGGCGGCUCACUGGUCCGGUACUGACGCUGAGGUGCGAAAGCGUGGGGAGCAAACAGG
RNAcentral lists this ribosomal RNA (253 nucleotides) under uncultured bacterium. RNAcentral's name for it is "partial 16S ribosomal RNA". It matches the Rfam family "Bacterial small subunit ribosomal RNA", at positions 524 to 776 of the family's 1533-position model. The record is from RNAcentral.